ACACACACACACACACACACACACACACACACACACACACAUACUUUUUGCUCUUGGAUACCCAAGAAGCCAACCUUUUGUUUAGACCGUAUGGGCAGUGUAUUGGAUUUGUACCUUAACACUGCUCCUAUAAUAAAGCGAAGAUUAUCUUUGGACUACUAACAAUUGAGUUUUCAAUAUAUUUCUCCCUACUGCCCUUUAAGAAGGGCAGUCCUGUUUCUUAAGUACAGAAGAAAUGCUUAUUAUUUAUGCAGGCUUUGUGCUCCCUCUGCUGGUUCUGUAAUUAACUAAUAAGUCUAAUUCCCAUAACUAUGCUGAUGUCAUCAAUUAUUUUUGCACACGGACGUGGAAUUAUCCAAAUCAGCAUGUUCUGUUCAGACAUCAUCAGGAAAAUGAGCAGGAGUACAAGGGAAUAUAUUCUUUUGCAGCCUGUGCCAAAUGAAUAAAUGUCCAGGUUGCCACUUAUUAUAGUUUAAGGAAAUGAUCGAUUCUAGCUUGCUUUGAUUAAAUUACAUAUUCAAUUAUUUUUGUUUGAAAUUAA
Molecule: long non-coding RNA, 541 nt
Filed under: Capra hircus (goat)
Lineage: Eukaryota; Metazoa; Chordata; Mammalia; Artiodactyla; Bovidae
Description: lncRNA (ENSCHIG00010029080.1)
Source: RNAcentral